Molecule: ribosomal RNA, 417 nt
Filed under: Triticum aestivum (bread wheat)
Lineage: Eukaryota; Viridiplantae; Streptophyta; Magnoliopsida; Poales; Poaceae
Description: partial small subunit ribosomal RNA
Source: RNAcentral
AUGCGGUCGGGCCACCCGUCGCCGGCAGGGGUGCCGGACGUCGACGUAGUCCGCUCCCACCCGACCUCUUCUCCGACCCGGUGGCUCCCCGGUAGAUCCGGUCGUUCCGGUCGCUGGCGGCUCUGUCGGCGGUCGGAGUUUGCCGGUUGGUCAUCAUUCACAGUCAUGAUGGGUCUUUGGGGCAUCUUGUUUCCCGGGCGGCGGCCCGGGAGGUGGGAGCCGCUGUGCUUGUGGGCUGAGCCCGCAGCUCAAGUGCGGGCGGCUAGUGGCCAUGGCUGCGUCGGCGAUGUGGUGGCUGCCAUCUCGAUGUUCUCGUCGGAGGUGGAGUUUGCGAGCCAGGGUGGAAACCAUGUAUGGUUUGGCCAUACCGGAGACGACGCCUGUGGGUGUCGCCAUCUUCUGAAGCCUCCGUUCUGA